Molecule: ribosomal RNA, 253 nt
Filed under: uncultured bacterium
Lineage: Bacteria
Description: partial 16S ribosomal RNA
Rfam family: Bacterial small subunit ribosomal RNA
Source: RNAcentral
UACGUAGGGUGCAAGCGUUGUCCGGAAUUAUUGGGCGUAAAGAGCUCGUAGGCGGUUUGUCGCGUCUGCUGUGAAAACUCAGGGCUUAACUCUGAGCUUGCAGUGGGUACGGGCAGACUAGAGUGCGGUAGGGGAGACUGGAAUUCCUGGUGUAGCGGUGAAAUGCGCAGAUAUCAGGAGGAACACCGGUGGCGAAGGCGGGUCUCUGGGCCGUAACUGACGCUGAGGAGCGAAAGCAUAGGGAGCGAACAGG